This 465-nucleotide ribosomal RNA is filed under the name uncultured bacterium. Its description in RNAcentral is "partial 16S ribosomal RNA". It matches the Rfam family "Bacterial small subunit ribosomal RNA", at positions 28 to 507 of the family's 1533-position model. The record is from RNAcentral.
GACGAACGCUGGCGGCGUGCUUAACACAUGCAAGUCGUACGGUAAGGCCCUUUCGGGGGUACACGAGUGGCGAACGGGUGAGUAACACGUGAGUAACCUGCCCACAACUUUGGGAUAACGCUAGGAAACUGGUGCUAAUACUGGAUAUGUGCUCCUGCUGCAUGGUGGGGGUUGGAAAGCUCCGGCGGUUGUGGAUGGACUCGCGGCCUAUCAGCUUGUUGGUGGGGUAGUGGCCUACCAAGGCGGCGACGGGUAGCCGGCCUGAGAGGGUGACCGGCCACAUUGGGACUGAGAGACGGCCCAGACGCCUACGGGAGGCAGCAGUGGGAAAUAUUGCACAAUGGGCGCAAGCCUGAUGCAGCAACGCCGCGUGCGGGAUGACGGCCUUCGGGUUGUAAACCGCUUUCAGCAGGGACGAAGCUUUUUGUGACGGUACCUGCAGAAGAAGCACCGGCUAACUACGUG